Strongylocentrotus purpuratus (purple sea urchin) is the source of this 663-nucleotide long non-coding RNA. RefSeq lists it as uncharacterized. Lineage: Eukaryota; Metazoa; Echinodermata; Echinoidea; Camarodonta; Strongylocentrotidae. The transcript is spliced from 4 exons. The record is from RefSeq and is a predicted model, not a curated record.
GGUACCCUCUUGAUCCGGAUGGAAGAGAGCUUGAGGCAAACUGUGAUACCAAAGAGAGAGUCAGAACUAUCCGCAGAAGAGACGGGUCGGUAUCAUCGUUCGAAGUGGAGAAGAACGUGAAUAUUCCUAGCCAGGAGUUUAAGGUUGGAGAUGUCUGCCUAGCUGACAAAGAUGGAUCAGUCGUAAUCGAGCGUACCAACCUGUCGACGUACUUGAAUGCUGGGGACCAAUUGUUACAGAUUAAUGACAUCGAUGUGGAACACAAGGGAAAAGAUUUUGCUCAUAUUUGUCUCGGCAGUGUGAGCUCAUCUCAUAUAAACCUCAAAAUUCUCCGACGGUUUCACCAGGGAUGAUGGUUUAAGUUCCAAGGUGUCACCCAAGACUUCCUGAAUAGUCUUAUUUGUGGACAUGAAUGUAUUCUCCAUCCGUUUCUUCUUAGGAUCAAAUGCCAGCUUUCUACGUCACAGUACAUAAUGGCAAAUAGCGAGGUUCCGGAGAGGACAAGUGGUGCAAUCGUCCCUAUAGUUUGAAAAACAUCCACCAAUAUAAAAGAUAAUGCCAAGACCGAAUCAUGCGUCUUGCACUGGACGGGAUUUGUGUAGCGACUCAGGAAGACGAAGAUGAAGACGGAGGAGGAGAAUAAGAAUAAAAUGUGAAGGAAAA